Molecule: ribosomal RNA, 493 nt
Filed under: uncultured bacterium
Lineage: Bacteria
Description: bacterial SSU rRNA
Rfam family: Bacterial small subunit ribosomal RNA
Source: RNAcentral
CCGCGUGUGUGAAGAAGGCCUUAUGGUUGUAAAGCACUCUAAGCGAGGAGGAGGCUACUUUANUUAAUACCUAGAGAUAGUGGACGUUACUCGCAGAAUAAGCACCGGCUAACUCUGUGCCAGCAGCCGCGGUAAUACAGAGGGUGCAAGCGUUAAUCGGAUUUACUGGGCGUAAAGCGCGCGUAGGCGGCUAAUUAAGUCAAAUGUGAAAUCCCCGAGCUUAACUUGGGAAUUGCAUUCGAUACUGGUUAGCUAGAGUGUGGGAGAGGAUGGUAGAAUUCCAGGUGUAGCGGUGAAAUGCGUAGAGAUUUGGAGGAAUACCGAUGGCGAAGGCAGCCAUCUGGCCUAACACUGACGCUGAGGUGCGAAAGCAUGGGGAGCAAACAGGAUUAGAUACCCUGGUAGUCCAUGCCGUAAACGAUGUCUACUAGCCGUUGGGGCCUUUGAGGCUUUAGUGGCGCAGCUAACGCGAUAAGUAGACCGCCUGGGGAGU